AGGAAAUGUGCCAACAGCAACCUCCUGGUGCUUUAAUGUAUUUCUGAUGAGAUCCUGCGUCAUGGGGCUGGAGAGGGGGGAUCGAGUCUGAAGGGAGCUAAAUACAAGCCUUACAAUACAAGUUACCUUCAACUUUACCUUUCCUUGUUUGUGUUUCUACUGGGACAGUGUUUGGCGACUUGAAUUAAGUACAGGACCUACAAACCUGUUUUCUAGGCCUUUUGAGACCCAGGUGAAUAUACUGGAACUAUCGUUUCACCAAACUGCUGCUUAUAUUGUUCGGGACUGUGUUGUGGUAUUAUAGUGUGUGGAGCUGAAUAAUUGUAGUAAUAAUAUCCCCCUGAAGUCACAAGUAGCCUGCUAACAGUGUUUUAUGGAAGGUUUUACUGUUUUAGGUGUUUUUAGAAUAGGUUUGGUUUUGAAAUAUUGUGUAAGGUGGUUUGAAAGGGGGGAUUUUGCAAAUUGUCUUAUAAAAUGAGUUGUAUUCAAUUGUAUCACUUCAUGUAAUAAAGAAAUCAUUAUUUGUA
Molecule: long non-coding RNA, 527 nt
Organism: Acipenser ruthenus (sterlet)
Lineage: Eukaryota; Metazoa; Chordata; Actinopteri; Acipenseriformes; Acipenseridae
Exons: 2
Source: RefSeq, a predicted model, not a curated record